Lagopus muta (rock ptarmigan) is the source of this 1662-nucleotide long non-coding RNA. RefSeq lists it as uncharacterized. The transcript has 4 exons. Lineage: Eukaryota; Metazoa; Chordata; Aves; Galliformes; Phasianidae. The record is from RefSeq and is a predicted model, not a curated record.
AGCCUGCCUCAGGAGUACUGCCCUCCAGCCAGGACUCCUGCUGAUGGGUUGUUGUGAGUUGUGGAUGGCAUACAGAUGGCAGACAGGCCAGCAGUACUCAGCUAAGCAAGAUGUCAACACUGUGGAGUUGUAGAUCAUAUUUGAUAAUCUAGAAGGAUACACCGCUGCCAUGGUAGUUUUCCAUAUGUGCAUGCACACCUGCGUCCUCAAAUGUACUCACAGAAGAAGGAGUUAAUGGCUGCGACUGGCUGCAUGAACUCUCCAGCCUCUCCCAGGACUUCCCAAUAAGCAGAUGAUUUUUUUGCGUCUCUGUGCCUGCAAUAAAGAGAAGGGCAAUAAGAAAAUAAGGGCAAAAUAAUGAAUCUAUGGCUUGUGAAUGGAGUGAAGCUCACUUCUGUGCAGCUCUGCCUUCAUCUGAAUUAAAUUCAACUGUUGGUUACCCUUUAGAAAGAAAAGGUUUUCCACUGUCUGGUGUCUUCAUUGGUAUGCUACUGAUUUGUAUAGGGUUUAGGUGGUGUUCAGAAGAUCACCUCAAUGACUUAUCAAUAGAAAUUUUUCACCAGUGUAACAUUUUUUUUUUUGGUAGUGAACUAUAAAAUCGUCAGGCUAUGGCUAACUAACUAGUUUAUGUUCUUUUUAAUCUGCUUAAAUUUUUUUAUUUUAAAAAAGGGACUUUUACCCCUUUUCUCAUACAAUGAUAAUCUAAUGGUAAUUUACAGGUGAUGGGUACAUUAAAAAUGUAAAUGAUUCCUCCACUAUUAUGAAAUUUUAAUUUUCUUUUGAAAGUGACAGAUGUACUGGCUACUUAAAGCCUUCCAAAGACUGCAGAUAAGUUCCAAGAAUAAGGAUCCUAAUUAAAAGUCAGUGUAAUGAUUAAACUAAUUCUCCACAUUCACCUCAUAUUUCACAGAGGAAAUUUAGCUCUCAUUUGCUAUCCGAAAUUGUCAUAUAUUGUGGCUACUAUUAACAAUCUUCUGUUCUUUUGCAAUAAAAUGUUGCUCUGUGAGACAGUAACUAUAAAGUGUUUUUUUAUUUUAUGUUUGAAAAUGUUGCAAGACUGUGUAUGUGAUGAAAGAUAUGCAAAUUCCUACACAUCCCAAAUAACAUGUGUUUAUGUAUAUUUGUAUUUCCUUUUGUGAAUUUUGGAUUUUUUUUUCAAUGCUCAUGAUCUAAAGGUGAAAUAUGACUAUAAUGAUAUCAUGGAAGAGUUGCAAAUACUUAUAAGAUUUAUAAAGACUAGUACUGCCUCCUCUUACAAUUAGAAUUGUUGCCAGGAGAGGAAUUUGAACAGUCAUUUCAAUGCUAAACUUUCCAUUUCAGUAGUCAAAACCUAUUUCUUAGGUUUCUUUCUACUGAGUAGUAGAUCUUUUCCUCUUUUGAAGUUUUGAGUUUUGAAACAACUAGGAAAAAGCAGAAUUUGAUUUGUUCCACCAAGAGACUAACCUUACUGUUGUUUUUUAAUUAUUAUUUUAUUUUUAAUGAAAAAAAGAUUUCAUACAUCUCUAGUUGAGAAAUGUUAGAUGCAGAGAAGGGGACAGUACUGUCUUUGAUAGGAAAUACACUUGGUCUGAAGGCUACAGGGAAUUUUGGGGUAUGGUACUUCAAUUUAUUCACUUCAUCACUCUUAGUUUUCUUAUUUAGUACUCUCUCUGGUGGUAAGUG